AGUGAACGCUGGCGGUAGGCCUAACACAUGCAAGUCGAACGGCAGCACAGUAAGAGCUUGCUCUUACGGGUGGCGAGUGGCGGACGGGUGAGGAAUACAUCGGAAUCUACUUUUUCGUGGAGGAUAACGUAGGGAAACUUACGCUAAUACCGCAUACGACCUACGGGUGAAAGCAGGGGAUCUUCGGACCUUGCGCGAUUGAAUGAGCCGAUGUCGGAUUAGCUAGUUGGCGGGGUAAAGGCCCACCAAGGCGACGAUCCGUAGCUGGUCUGAGAGGAUGAUCAGCCACACUGGAACUGAGACACGGUCCAGACUCCUACGGGAGGCAGCAGUGGGGAAUAUUGGACAAUGGGCGCAAGCCUGAUCCAGCCAUACCGCGUGAGUGAAGAAGGCCUUCGGGUUGUAAAGCCCUUUUGUUGGGAAAGAAAAGCAGCAGGUUAAUACCCCGCUGUUCUGACGGUACCCAAAGAAUAAGCACCGGCUAACUUCGUG
RNAcentral lists this ribosomal RNA (492 nucleotides) under uncultured bacterium. RNAcentral's name for it is "partial 16S ribosomal RNA". It matches the Rfam family "Bacterial small subunit ribosomal RNA", at positions 29 to 507 of the family's 1533-position model. The record is from RNAcentral.